Long non-coding RNA from Halichondria panicea, 4862 nucleotides. RefSeq lists it as uncharacterized. The record is from RefSeq and is a predicted model, not a curated record. Lineage: Eukaryota; Metazoa; Porifera; Demospongiae; Suberitida; Halichondriidae. The transcript has 2 exons.
GUGAGACCCAAUAAAAAAAAGUAGGUUCAGCGUUUCUUACACACAGGGAAGUCAGUGCCCAAGAAGCAGUUUAUAGAAUACUACCACUCCCCAUUAAAAAGAUGAGCAGGACUGUAUUGUUUGUUGAUACCAAUCCCAAAAAAGACAGAAUCGGUGUAUUAAAGCCUUCUUCUGCAAUCGAGAACCUUGAUGACGAUGACCCUAACGUAUUUUGUAAGAACCUAGUAGAGAGGUAUCAACACAGACCAAUUGAGCUUGCAAAUAUAUCUCUAGCUGAUUUUGCUGCUAAUUAUAGUACCGAAUAUAAAGCUGCAGACGACGAUACUGGUGACACUGAUGUACUUCCAUCUGAUGCCAACUGUACUGAGAAUACAGCACGUAAAAUUACACUCACAGGUGGAUUCGGUAAAAUGAAUAAACGUAAUCGGGAAGCAAUCAUAAGGUUCACAAAGUACAAUAAGGAGAAAGACCCCAGUAACUGGUAUAGAGCCAAAUUGAUGCUUUAUUUCCCAUGGUACAGUGAGGAAACAGAUUUGUUAGGUGGCUAUUAGCAACCUUUGAAGAGCAUUUCCGUAAUGUCCAAUCGUCUGUGAUAGCUAAUGAGAAAAAGUACACACUGUCUGACGUAGAAAAUAUUGAAAUUGAUGAGGACGGCCCUCCAUAGCAUGCUUGGGAUCAAGUAGCACCGGGUACUGAAGCUGACAGAGCCCAACAUGAAGCCGAAGGUCCCGAAACUCUAACAGAUUUGUCUGAGCAAGACGUUAGGGACAAUAGUGCAUUGUUUACGUCCACUACCUCUAGUAGCUUACAUGUGCGCUAUGAAGGCGUAGCUAAUCAUGGGGAAAUUCCACCUGAUGAAUACAGAAAGCUUUUAAGAGGUCUUAACAGCAAGCAAAAACAAAUCGUCAUGUUUCACCGUAAUUGGUGCAAGAAAGCUGUGAUAGCAUUAAAGCAUGGUAAACCCAUUGAGCCAUACCGUGUGUUUGUGAGUGGCCCUGGAGGUGUAGGAAAGACGCAUGUUAUCAAACUGAUACAUUCCGAUACUGUUAAAUUGCUUAGGUUGUCUGGCACAAUAGAACCUGACGAUGUUACGGUUUUGCUUACAGCCCCCACUGGUGCAGCAGCAUUUAUUAUAGGUGGCAUGACGUUACAUUCUGCUCUUGUACUAGGUACCAGUAGAUACAGUGGUUUUCAGUCUCUCAGGUUUUCAGUCUCUCAAUCACGAUCGUUUAAACUCCCUACGAAGUAAAUUGUCUAAGUUAGGACUACUGAUCAUUGACGAAAUAAGCAUGGUUGGUUCCAACAUGUUGCUAGAAGUGCACAAGAGACUAGAGCAAAUCAAAGCUGUCAUGCCGGAUAGGAGUACUUUUGGUGGUGUCAGUAUAUUAGCAGUAGGAGAUCUUUUUCAAUUACCCCCUGUCUGUCAAACACCUGUUUUUAGUGUCGUCAACGAUAGUUAUGCUAAACUAUACAACUCUGGUUCAUUGUGGUUAGAUGAAUUUCAAAUGAUUGAGCUAGAUGAGAUUAUGAGGCAAAAGGGUGACUCUGUAUUUUGUGAACUUUUGUGUAGGAUUAGAACGGUUACACACAAUGACAAUGACGUCGCUGUGCUAAAGUCCAGGGAAAUUACUCCUCAAAUGCCCAAUUACCCAAACCAUGCUCUACAUGUGUAUAGACUCAAUGCUGACGUUGAUGAGCGUAACAUAACCAUGUUGAAUGCCUUGGUUCCAGAAAGUCAGCAAUAUUCAAUAAAGUCUUACAAUUCUAGAGCUGGUCAAACUAGCCACAUCAACCUGUCAACCCUGUCUGCCAAGAGAUCAGAAACUGGUGGCCUACACGGCAUUUUAAAAAUUGCAAUUGGUGCCAGAGUUAUGCUAACAACCAAUGUUGACGUAGCAGAUGGGCUAGUUAAUGGUGCUAGAGGUGAAAUAGUGAUGGCUGCUGGUAAGGUUACACACAUUCUUGUAAAUUUUGAUCACCCUAAUGUUGGAGUUAAGGCCAGACAAGGUAGUCAAUUUUUGCAAACAUUCCCAACUGCUGUUCCACUAGUAAAACACGAAGCUAUUUUUAAGGCUAAAGGUAAACGAGGCUCUGAAAUUACUCGGUUACAGUUCCCACUGACUCUAGCUUGGGCCACUACUAUACAUAAGGUACAAGGUUUAACACUCGAUGAAAUUGUGGUAGACAUGAAAGGUAGCCGCUUUAGCUCUGGUCAAGCCUAUGUAGCAUUCAGUCGUGUUAAAAAGCUUGAAGGUUUGCAUAUAUUGAACUUUAAUGAGAAGGUUAUUAAAGCGAGUGAUGACGUCAAGACUGAAAUGUCUAGAUUAAAUGAUAGGGUACUCAGCCCUUUGUCCGUUGACACAUGUCCUGAAGAUUACAUCACAAUUACAUUACUCAUUACUCAAUGUGAGAUCACUGCUAGCUAAAGUACCAGACAUUGAAUGUGAUAAAUUAUUUACUUCAGCUGGAAUUCACUGUUUUACUGAAACGUGGUUGCAGUCCGGAAUAGCCAGUCCAUUAAUACAUACAAACCAUCAAUGUUUAAGACUCGAUAGUGUUUCUGGUGAUAGAAAAGGUGGGGUUUUGAUUAGUUUGCCCGAAAAUAUAGAAGUACUGAACUCUUAUGCUUGUGACGUAGAUGAUGUUGCAAUAGAAAUGCUAUGUGCUCUGCUUCAACUACCUAAUGGACAAGCCAUUCAUUUAACUCUUGUGUACCGAUCUCCAAGUGUAUCAAUGAAUGAUUUAUUAGACUACAUGUAUCCCCUGUUGCAGCAUUUAAAAAGCUUUAAUGUAUCUAUUGUCCUAGGUGACUUUAAUGUGGACAUUCUAACUAACACUAAUUCACAAUUAGAAGUAUUAAUGCUUCGUCAUGGUUAUUCUCAGCUAGUGCACACUCCCACUACAGACAACGGUACUCUUAUAGACCAUGUAUAUUGCAAUAGCCUAGCACCAGAGCGUGUUCAUACAAAGGUUACUGAUGUGUACUACUCGGAUCACGAUGCAGUUCUCUGCUCCAUUCCCCUCUAAUGCAUAUAAGUUAGCUACGUCUGUAGAAUAUCGUUCAGUAAGCCUUAAUAUUGUGUCCUGAAUGGAAUUUAAUGUCUGUUAGUCUAUCAGCUUGCACAUCACUAUAAUUAUCUUGAACCCUUGGGAUCACAUACAUUGUGUUUUCCAUGCGAGAUCAUGAUAUGCAAAGAAGCUCAGAAACUAAGAACUCAAACUCUUAAACUUUUUUGUUGUUGCUGCCUUGAUCUUGAAGGUUACUGAUGUGUACUACUCGGAUCACGAUGAAGUUCUCUGCUCCAUUCCCCUCGAAUCUGUCAGUCUAACUACGUGACCUGUACACUUAGUGAGUAUUUGAUGCUAUAGCUCAACUUACUUACAUUACAGACACCUAUAAUUGUUCUUGUGUAUGUCCACACUCUGACCAUGUUCUAUGCUAUACCUUCUCUGAGACAAAUUUGCUAAUUGGUUGAAACCAGUGCAUUUUAUACAGCCUCUUCAGCUAGAUUAUCUCUGCCUGGUUUCAACCGUAACUGCCAUAAGAUUUAUUAAGCAUUCGUUGUACGCUUGUAUACUUUUUUCUGGCUUGGCCAAUCCGUUUUGCUGUUAAUCUAUGACUCUAUGACUCGAUCCGUUUUGCUGUUAAUCUAUGACUCUUAUGACUCAAAGUUUCCAAUCUGUUUUGCUGUUAAUCUAUGACUCUAUGACUCAAAUGACUCAAAUGACUCCUAUGACUCCCAUGACUCCAAUGACUCAAAUGACUCAAAGUUUACUAAGUGUUCAAUUAACUGUUCCUGGUUCCUGGUUCCUGUUGAAGACUAAGAAUGUCUACCGCUGCAGUGAGUUAAAUCCAACCAUGGGCCAUCUUCGACUUGUAGUCCCAAGAAAAUUGAUGAACACUGGCUAAUGUAACGACUUCAAUUUAUUAAUGGCUGUCUUGACAUACUACAACUGUACAUUGUACGCAAGAAUUAUAACUAUGAUAAAAUGGCUCUGCGACACUCAAAAAUUGAAGAAAAUUAAUGAACGAACUAUACUUGCAUAGAGACCUCAAUCUAAUGGCUGUCUUGACGCACAGUUUGUGGCAGAUAACAAACAUACAGCAUACGCAAGAAAAUCGAUAAAACUAUGAACUAUGAUUAUUAUAUAUAAGAGUGACAGCAAAAAUAGAUGUCGCUAUCCUGUUUCUACCUUCGAGCAAUGCUCCCUACUUGAAUUUGGCACUUUAAAUUUUGACAGCCUUCCAAAAGCCACAUGCAUGGUCAGUCACUUUCGGCCUGAAGCCAUGUUUAUACGUGCAGUCAAUUUCGCUUUUAUUUAAUUAUUAUUACAACUAUUUUCAGAAUUUAUUUAUUUAUACGUCCUUUUUUUACACUUACUUUUGUUUAUACUAUUUCUCUUAUUUAUACUACCAUUACUACAUCAUAAUCAUUAUUUUUACACUUACUUUUGUAAUACCAUUCUUAAUAAUUAUUAUUAUUUUUGUUAUCCAUUUUUUAAACUACCAUUACAUCAUCAUUUUUUACACUUACUUUUGUUCUACUAUUUCUCGUCAAAGGAGGUCGACAUCUGCGUGUCAUCCGUGUGUUAAACGCACAUUCCUUAAACGCACAUUCCUGAACUUUGACCUAAGCUUUGACCUAAGGAAUGUGUGUCUACUUUGACACGCGAAUGUCGUACCUCAUCUGAUUUCUCGUUAUCCAUUUCUAAACUACCAUUACUACAUCAUCAUAAUUAUUCAGUCACUGAUCCCUUAUUAUAACACACCAUCUAAACUACCAUUACAUCAUUGUUCAUCAUGUACAUCCAGUCAUCCCACAUGAUUCGUCGUAAUAAAUAAAUAUUAUUCACUAUGAUAA